Molecule: ribosomal RNA, 360 nt
Filed under: Triticum aestivum (bread wheat)
Lineage: Eukaryota; Viridiplantae; Streptophyta; Magnoliopsida; Poales; Poaceae
Description: partial small subunit ribosomal RNA
Source: RNAcentral
CUCUGGUUUCUCAAUAGAGGGGUGAUCUUAACUAGGGAUAAUUUGGCACGAUGCAACUGUCAAGGGUGCAAAAAAUGUGUUCUCUGCCAUCAUGACGAGUCCAUUAAACACUUAUUUUUUGAGUGCAAGUUUGCUCGGUUUGUAUGGGCCAUUGUUCAAAUAGCUUUGAAUCUUUAUCCCCCACGUGGUGCACGGAACAUGUUUGGCAAUUGGUUGAGGGGAAUAGAUAAACAAUUUUCUGCACACAUUCUAGUGGGGGCGGCUGCCUUAUGUUGGACUUUGUGGCUCACCAGGAAUGGCAUAGUUUUUAUCCAUACAUGUGUUUCAUCUCCUAUGCAGGUUAUUCAUAUAUGUUCGUGA